RNAcentral lists this ribosomal RNA (492 nucleotides) under uncultured bacterium. RNAcentral's name for it is "partial 16S ribosomal RNA". It matches the Rfam family "Bacterial small subunit ribosomal RNA", at positions 29 to 507 of the family's 1533-position model. The record is from RNAcentral.
AGUGAACGCUGGCGGCAUGCCUAAUACAUGCAAGUCGAGCGGCCGGAUAGGAAGCUUGUUCCUCUGCGGGUGGCGACUGACGGGCGGGUAACGCAUAGAUAGCCUACUUCUUUUUCGGGGGUGAUUUCGUGAGGCAACGUAUAAUAACAGAUCAUAUAUUGUACGGGUUGGUGAAGGAGUUAAACGGGGUUUUCGCGUCACUUAGAGACGGUGUCGGAUUAGCUAGUUGGCGGGGUAAAGGCCCACCAAGGCGACGAUCCGUAGCUGGUCUGAGAGGAUGAUCAGCCACACUGGAACUGAGACACGGUCCAGACUCCUACGGGAGGCAGCAGUGGGGAAUAUUGGACAAAGGGCGCAAGCCUGAUCCAGCCAUACCGCGUGGGUGAAGAAGGCCUUCGGGUUGUAAAGCCCUUUUGUUGGGAAAGAAAAGCAGCAGGUUAAUACCCCGCUGUUCUGACGGUACCCAAAGAAUAAGCACCGGCUAACUUCGUG